GAUGAACGCUAGCGGCAGGCUUAACACAUGCAAGUCGAGGGGCAGCAUGAGACGGAGAUUCGUCGAAGUCUUGAUGGCGACCGGCGCAAGGGUGCGUAACGCGUGAGCAACUUGCCCGUUUCAGGGGGAUAACCGGUGGAAACGCCGACUAAUACCCCAUAGUAUCUCUUUAAGGCAUCUUUUAGAGAUUAAAGAAUUUCGGAAACGGAUAGGCUCGCGUGACAUUAGCUAGAUGGUGAGGUAACGGCUCACCAUGGCGACGAUGUCUAGGGGUUCUGAGAGGAAGGUCCCCCACACUGGAACUGAGACACGGUCCAG
This 318-nucleotide ribosomal RNA is filed under the name uncultured bacterium. RNAcentral's name for it is "bacterial SSU rRNA". It matches the Rfam family "Bacterial small subunit ribosomal RNA", at positions 28 to 334 of the family's 1533-position model. The record is from RNAcentral.